GGUCUGGUGGUGUAGUUGGUUAUCACGUCAGUCUAACAGUACGAGAGCCUCGACCUCUCUUCCCUGCCACACUGAAGGUCUCCGGUUCAAGUCCGGGCUAGAUCA
This 105-nucleotide transfer RNA is filed under the name Colletotrichum fioriniae PJ7. It matches the Rfam family "tRNA". Rfam says of the family: Transfer RNA (tRNA) molecules are approximately 80 nucleotides in length. Their secondary structure includes four short double-helical elements and three loops (D, anti-codon, and T loops). Lineage: Eukaryota; Fungi; Ascomycota; Sordariomycetes; Glomerellales; Glomerellaceae. The record is from Rfam by way of RNAcentral.